GGGGGCGACAUGGCUUCGACGUGGGAAGUGAAGCAAAGGGAGCAUACCGGGGCGCACAGGGACCUCGUUAAAAAGGUGCAAACUUUAUUUGCUGACAAUAACGUAGCAAUGGCAGCUUAGUUCUGCCACGGAUCCCGGCUGAAUCGAUGGUGUUGAGCUGAAGAUCUGUUAUUAAUGCCAUACCGGUCGAAUGUUGUUCUCUGUAGGGCAUCGACCUAAAUAAACUGCGGGGGUGAUAGUUGGAAUUUUGUUUGUGGAAGUCCGCCUAUCUAACUAAAAACAUAAACUAAGUAUGUAGCGCCUUUUCGUGGAACUCUUGCGGACCCGGGUUCAAUUCCCGGCGCCUCCACCA
RNAcentral lists this transfer-messenger RNA (352 nucleotides) under Pseudobdellovibrionaceae. RNAcentral's name for it is "UBA2316 sp016785955 Standard tmRNA". It matches the Rfam family "transfer-messenger RNA". From Rfam's summary of the family: Bacterial tmRNA, also known as 10Sa RNA or SsrA, is named for its dual tRNA and mRNA-like properties. Its role is to liberate the mRNA from a stalled ribosome. RNAcentral also lists the same sequence under 1 other name. Lineage: Bacteria; Pseudomonadati; Bdellovibrionota; Bdellovibrionia; Bdellovibrionales. The record is from RNAcentral.